GCCCGGGUGGUGGAAUCGGUAGACACUGCAGACUUAAAAUCUGUUGCCCGCAAGGGCGUGCGGGUUCAAGUCCCGCCCCGGGCACCA
This 87-nucleotide transfer RNA is filed under the name Verrucomicrobiota bacterium. RNAcentral describes it as "Verrucomicrobia bacterium tRNA-Leu". It matches the Rfam family "tRNA". Rfam says of the family: Transfer RNA (tRNA) molecules are approximately 80 nucleotides in length. Their secondary structure includes four short double-helical elements and three loops (D, anti-codon, and T loops). RNAcentral also lists the same sequence under 1 other name. Lineage: Bacteria; Pseudomonadati; Verrucomicrobiota. The record is from RNAcentral.